RNAcentral lists this unclassified non-coding RNA (1176 nucleotides) under Bombus terrestris (buff-tailed bumblebee). RNAcentral's name for it is "misc RNA ENSBTSG00005021136.1". The record is from RNAcentral. Lineage: Eukaryota; Metazoa; Arthropoda; Insecta; Hymenoptera; Apidae.
GAAGGAUGGUGGCCAGAAACGAGAUUUAACCAAAAAAAUACCAGCCGCGAAUGUGUCAAUGUAAAACAUUAACAGAGACAAAACACACGUACGCACAGUACGAAUACUAUGUACUUACCACCCUUUCAAGUUUAUUCUUUAUGAAGGGCAUUGUCUUCUUUCGGAAAGUGAUACAGAUGAUAUACUCGGUGUCGACUGUUGUUACUAUAGACGUAAAUAUUUUCUCACCGAACCAAUCUCUGCAAGUUUAUCACAUAAAUUCCUGAAGUAAACUACACAAGAAAACGCAGGUAUCUGGGAAUACGACGUCGCACAAAUAUAGCAAGUUCGAUAAUGAUAUAGAGAUACGUACAUCCAUAGAAAAUUAUAAGAAGAACUAUAAGAUUAAAUUGGAAAAUUAAGACUGAGGCGUUUACGGGAUAAUACACCAUGUUCGGUUUUCUACGGUAGUCGACAGGCGAGUAAAUCUGCGUAAAAUUUGGUUUUCCCAAGAUUCGUUAGAAGUUCCGAGAUAAGGAUGGGGGUAGCACACAGUUUGGAAUGUUUGCAAAUUCAUUGGAUGAGAAAGAAUUGAUGGAAGAAGGAGGUGAACGCUCACGUCUAUUGGUUACCUUGAAAUUAUAAUUGACCAAUUCAAUUAGCCUUCAAAACACGUAAAGUCGGGGAAAAUUGCAGGUGACAAUAUUUUUACACAAAAAGUCGCUAUUUUAUAUUAAAUAAUUUUUUUAAUUCCAUGUUCUUGAAAUCUUAAUAAUAAAAUGUGUUUUAUAGCAUUGUCUGCCAGAAGACAAACGCUACCCCACCAUCCUAUACCAUUCCCAUGGUACAGAAACGCUGCUGAUUGUAAGAUUAUAACCAAUCCACUCCGAUUGUCGAUUCCUCCCUAAAUUAUGUUGUCGUUUGUCUGUUGCUUUUCCUUGAUAACGAGCGAACAUGCCGUGUGACCGAACACGGAGCCGUUGGAGGACCGCUUUUCUUCAUCUUCGCUAGUAAACAAUUCACAGACAAUUAGUAAAUAUGUUAUAGUUGCCAGAUAAUGUCUUUAAUCAACUUCAGAAAGGAGAAUGUUACCCAUUUAAUAUUUAUUCUUUUUAUAUAAAUUCGUCGGUUAUUCUGCCAAGGAUAAUUUAAUCAAUAUUAAAUCUUUUACAUUUUAUAAAGAACUGAAGGUUGUGA